Molecule: small RNA, 102 nt
Filed under: Trypanosoma cruzi
Lineage: Eukaryota; Euglenozoa; Kinetoplastea; Trypanosomatida; Trypanosomatidae
Description: spliced leader mini-exon transcript
Source: RNAcentral
GGGGUCGUAGACCCCCGGUCAAAAGAAAUUGACCAAACAUAACCGCCAGAGGCGGGUUGGAAGCUUCGCGUACCAAUCAUAGUACAGAACUGUAUCAAUAAU